GCGGAUGUGGCGGAAUUGGCAGACGCGCUAGACUUAGGAUCUAGUGUCAAGUACGUGGGGGUUCAAGUCCCUCCAUCCGCA
This 81-nucleotide transfer RNA is filed under the name Clostridium cylindrosporum DSM 605. It matches the Rfam family "tRNA". From Rfam's summary of the family: Transfer RNA (tRNA) molecules are approximately 80 nucleotides in length. The record is from Rfam by way of RNAcentral. Lineage: Bacteria; Bacillati; Bacillota; Clostridia; Eubacteriales; Clostridiaceae.